CGCCGCCCAGAGCUGGAAGCGAGAGGCGCAGGCACUGACUCAGGCGCACGUCUUCCUUGUCAGGCUGGAUUGGCUGAGCCCCAGCUGGCCCGGCCCGAUUGGCUGGGCACGGGGCCGAGUCCCGAUUGGCUGCAGAGGCUGACCCCACCUUUCCCCGCCCUGGUUUAGGCUACCUGUGCAACGUAGGGGGCGAAGCACUCCCGGAAGGACGAGCCACGGGAAUGACAGGCUUGUGGCUUUACCGGGAGAUGGGAGGCCAUACAAAAACGGGCAGCAGGCCAGAUUUGGACCACCAGCUGUGUUCUGCCAUCCCUGAUCUAAUCUAACAUAAACGUCCCGACUUUCCCAAAGAAGUAUCCCUGAGGACACAGGAGCACGAACAAGUGCCCCAUGAUGGCACACAGCUUUACCCGGCAAAUCCUGCCAGCUUCCAAGUCCCGGGAUGCUGACCUGCACCAGCACGUGGGGCAGCGUUACCUCCCAACAGUGUGGAGAAGAGCACAUGUCACCACUGGGCG
Long non-coding RNA from Equus caballus (horse), 518 nucleotides. RefSeq lists it as uncharacterized. Lineage: Eukaryota; Metazoa; Chordata; Mammalia; Perissodactyla; Equidae. The record is from RefSeq and is a predicted model, not a curated record.